Molecule: ribosomal RNA, 253 nt
Filed under: uncultured bacterium
Lineage: Bacteria
Description: partial 16S ribosomal RNA
Rfam family: Bacterial small subunit ribosomal RNA
Source: RNAcentral
UACGGAGGGGGCAAGCGUUAUCCGGAAUCACUGGGUUUAAAGGGUGCGUAGGCGGCUUGAUAAGUCAGGGGUGAAAGCCCGCAGCUUAACUGCGGAACUGCCUUUGAUACUGUCGAGCUUGAAAGAGGUUGAGGUCAGCGGAACGUGACAUGUAGCGGUGAAAUGCAUAGAUAUGUCACAGAACACUGAUUGCGAAGGCAGCUGGCUGGACCUACUUUGACGCUGGGGUACGAAAGCGUGGGGAGCGUACAGG